GUUGGGCUGUUCGCCCAUUAAAGCGGUACGCGAGCUGGGUUCAGAACGUCGUGAGACAGUUCGGUCCCUAUCCGUCGUGGGCGUUGGAAGUUUGAGAGGAGCUGUCCUUAGUACGAGAGGACCGGGAUGGACACACCGCUGGUGUACCAGUUGUUCCGCCAGGAGCAUGGCUGGGUAGCUACGUGUGGAAGGGAUAAGUGCUGAAAGCAUCUAAGCAUGAAGCCCCCCUCUAGAUGAGACUUCCCAUCAUUUUAAAUGAGUAAGAUCCCUCAGAGACGAUGAGGUUGAUAGGUCCGAGGUGGAAGCGUGGUGACACGUGCAGCUGACGGAUACUAAUCGAUCGAGGACUUAACUUAA
RNAcentral lists this ribosomal RNA (357 nucleotides) under Sediminibacillus albus. RNAcentral's name for it is "bacterial LSU rRNA". It matches the Rfam family "Bacterial large subunit ribosomal RNA", at positions 2571 to 2925 of the family's 2925-position model. Lineage: Bacteria; Bacillati; Bacillota; Bacilli; Caryophanales; Bacillaceae. The record is from RNAcentral.